Puntigrus tetrazona (Sumatra barb) is the source of this 1848-nucleotide long non-coding RNA. RefSeq lists it as uncharacterized. The record is from RefSeq and is a predicted model, not a curated record. The transcript is spliced from 4 exons. NCBI's taxonomy places the organism in Eukaryota, Metazoa, Chordata, Actinopteri, Cypriniformes, Cyprinidae.
CUGUUUCCCACUGCCUCCGUUGCAAGUAAACCUGUGAAAAAGAACAUGAAAUUUAUUGCACUGAAGUGGUGAGAGAGGAAGAGAAUGAAAUCAUUUUUUUCCACAAGAGAGUUGUUUUUACAGUACAAAAAAGAGACACAAGAGCUGACGCAAACAACUGCGUAUAAAUAGAGAAACCUUUUCUUUUUCAUAUGACAGUGCAGGAAGUCAGAGGUAGCUGGGAAUGCUAAUGGAUUUGAGCUAGCUCUUGAUGUCCUCGGGCGUGGUGCAGAGAUGUUUGUGACAUCUCUAACAAGUCUUUCCAGAAUUUCUAAUUUUAUAACUUCAUACAUGGGGCACUUUCAGAUGUACAACUUUGUAGGAUGUUUUCAUUCACUUAAGAGCUGUGUUACACACUGGAUGAUAGCAUUAUUUCUGUGGAAACAACGAAAGUUCAGUCAGUUUAUAGCCCCUUUCACUCAAACAAUAUUUACAGUUAAAUUAAUGGUAAAUUACAGUUUACACUGUUUCGUAACUAGGAUCUUUUUAAAAACACGUUCUGGCAAUUUUCCAGUAUUGCAAGUUGUAGUAUUGCCAGUAAAUUAUAUUGUGUAAAUAAAGCAUAAGAUAAAAGUACAUGCAAGGGCAGGACACGCUGACGUAAGAAGCCUCUGUUGGACAUAAAGCCCAGUCGUAACACAGUUUUUCUCUCGACAGACAUCUGACUGUUUUAAUAUGUGAAGAGUAACCUAUACGUUCGUACUGUAAUAAAACUGUGGGGGUGGUGGUUGGGUACGUGCGUAGUCACUAUCCAAACUGGAUUGAUGCUUUAUUUAUUCUACAUUGUGCGCACAUAGGAAGUAAUUUGGCAAAUUUGUCUUCUACAUCUUAAUGAAUCCAAAGAUCUGAGGAAAGGUAGACAAAGAAAAAUGAAUUAGUUCUAAAAGCAUAAAACAUAUAAUGUCAUCUCAAUGUUAUCUAAACGUUAUUUUCGUUUCGGAAUUCUGAGUCAUCUGUGUGAAUAUAUCCAUUAAAACAACGUUGUAUACCGUACAAACUGAAAAAAUGGGCAUAAAGGGUCUAAUACAUAAAUAGCAUAAAGGUACUUGUUGCAUGUGUGUUGUGUUUUAUGUUGUGCAUGGUCUUCCUGAUUUUCCUUAUUUGGUCAUCUUUCUGUUCUAGUCUAGUUUGAUUAGUUAAUUCGUCCCCAUGUGUGCAUUCACCUGUUUCAGUUCUCCCUAAUUGUGUCUGUGUAUAUUUAAGUCAUGUCUGCCCCAUUGAGUUUGGCCGUCUUUGAUGUGAUUAAUGUGAGAUGUGUUGAUGCUUGUAUUUUGGAGAAUGGAAAGAAUCCUGUUUGUAACACCACGUCGGGAGUCUUUCUACAACCACCGCAUGUUUUCAAAUACCGUAAUUACAAGCUGUUUAAUGGAGACAGCCCUGCAGUCAUUCAAAUAAAGAUGUCGCUGUCGGCCGCUUCAAAAUGCAACCAUGAAAAUGGGAGAAACUGCUUCUCUAGAAAUCACCAAGCUGACUAGUUCCUGGAAUUAAGUUUUCAUCUACCUGGAUAUUUUGUGGAUGAACUGCAUGCAACAUGGUUGUCUGUGAGGAGGAGGAGGAUGUUCACACACAUAAAGCAGGUUCUCCAGGACCCAGCUGUGUGUCUGUGAAGAGUGAUAUGUCUUUACCUAAGCCACCAGAUCUCAACGGUGAAGUCGCUCCUGACUCUGAACUUUCAGGACUGAUUGCUACUGAUUACUGAUCCUUAGAUCGCCACGUGCAAAUUUUAUAAUAAUGGAUUUAUAUAAUCAUCUGACAAUCAUUAGUUAAUCAUGAUUUAUUAUUAGAUCAUUUUUAAAUAUUUACUUUUUU